This 468-nucleotide ribosomal RNA is filed under the name uncultured bacterium. RNAcentral's name for it is "partial 16S ribosomal RNA". It matches the Rfam family "Bacterial small subunit ribosomal RNA", at positions 28 to 507 of the family's 1533-position model. The record is from RNAcentral.
GACGAACGCUGGCGGCGUGCUUAACACAUGCAAGUCGAACGGAAAGGCCCUGCUUUUGUGGGGGGCUCGAGUGGCGAAAGGGUGAGUAACAAGUGAGUAACCUGCCCUUGACUUUGGGAUAACUUCAGGAAACUGGGGCUAAUACCGGAUAGGAGCUCCUGCUGCAUGGUGGGGGUUGGAAAGAUUCGGCGGUUGGGGAUGGACUCGCGGCUUAUCAGCCUGUUGGUGGGGUAGUGGCUUACCAAGGCUUUGACGGGUAGCCGGCCUGAGAGGGUGACCGGCCACAUUGGGACUGAGAUACGGCCCAGACUCCUACGGGAGGCAGCAGUGGGGAAUAUUGCACAAUGGGCGGAAGCCUGAUGCAGCAACGCCGCGUGCGGGAUGACGGCCUUCGGGUUGUAAACCGCUUUCGCCUGUGACGAAGCGUGAGUGACGGUAAUGGGUAAAGAAGCACCGGCUAACUACGUG